This 31-nucleotide non-coding RNA is filed under the name Macaca fascicularis (crab-eating macaque). The record is from RNAcentral. Lineage: Eukaryota; Metazoa; Chordata; Mammalia; Primates; Cercopithecidae. RNAcentral also lists the same sequence under 1 other name.
CUCUCCAUUUGCAGAUACUUCAGCCACUCCU